Molecule: transfer RNA, 73 nt
Filed under: Dallia pectoralis (Alaska blackfish)
Lineage: Eukaryota; Metazoa; Chordata; Actinopteri; Esociformes; Umbridae
Description: tRNA-OTHER
Source: RNAcentral
GUCAAGGUGGCCUAGUGGUUAGGGACUAGGGCUUGGGUCUGGAAGGUCCCUGGUUCUAAUCCGGGUCGUUUUG